GUUUUGGAAAAUUUUGAUAUUUGAGUUGAUUGGGUUUUUAAGCACCAUGCCCUUUAAUCUGUAAGUAGAAACUCCUCUCCUUCUGUGUCAGUUUACAUUGGUUGCCCUUCUAUUUACUGAUCAGUCUAUGUACAGUAGUAAUAAUAAUUUUUUCAAUUAAAACUUACCAUAUUCUAAAUACUUACAAACCUUCUCUCUAAUUCCUGUAUUCAUAGGUCCAUUUUAGAGAUGUGGAAACUGAGGUUCAGAGACAUUAACUAACUUGCCCACAGUUAUACAGUCACUAAGUGAUGGAGCAGGAAUUCAAACUCAAUCUGUCUGAAUCUGAAGACCAUGCAUUUUUCCUAUCCCACUCAGCUUGUCUCUCUAUAAGCUUCUUAGCAAGGCUCUGAGAUCUCUUGGGACAGCCUCUUGUCUGUGUAAAGAGAUUCCUAGACUUCUGUAGAUGAAAUUUCCUGUGAUCUCUUUUGGAUAUCUAACAAUGAUAUUUGAAAAACAGAUACUAAGUCUUGGAGAGGUGAAAUAGUCACAAAUGGAAUUUCAAGAAACAUUCUAUCUAGGGAAAGGCCUCGGAUCAGGACAGCAGAGUCUCCUCAGACGAGAAGUGGUGCCCCUUGCAUACUGCUCAGAGAAUUCUCAGCAGCGCAGGUUCGUUUGACAUCUGGUAUUCACGAUUCCUGUGAGAGUGGCUUCCCCCUAAAUGUGCUCUGAAAGCAUUCCUGCUGUGCCCCUUCUGUCCAAGUAUAAACACAUUAUAGGAAAUGAACAAGUAAAGACCCAGCUUAUCCGGAAGGAAUGAAGGAACCCCUCACCCAGCUGGCCUGGGGUUUUUAUGUCCAGCUUCAGGAAAUUUUGCCAGCCACUGGGGUAGGGGCUGUUGUCUUGACACUUGGCACCUUAGUCCCUUUCCCAUUCUAAACUCCCCAGGUGCUGUCCA
Molecule: long non-coding RNA, 937 nt
Filed under: Aotus nancymaae (Ma's night monkey)
Lineage: Eukaryota; Metazoa; Chordata; Mammalia; Primates; Aotidae
Description: lncRNA (ENSANAG00000038554.1)
Source: RNAcentral